ACUCCUACGGGAGGCAGCAGUGGGGAAUAUUGCACAAUGGGCGCAAGCCUGAUGCAGCCAUGCCGCGUGUGUGAAGAAGGCCUUAGGGUUGUAAAGCACUUUCAAUUGGGAAGAAAAGCUCAUGCUUAAUACGCAUGAGCCCUGACAUUACCUUUAGAAGAAGCACCGGCUAACUCCGUGCCAGCAGCCGCGGUAA
RNAcentral lists this ribosomal RNA (196 nucleotides) under uncultured Alteromonadales bacterium. RNAcentral describes it as "partial 16S ribosomal RNA". It matches the Rfam family "Bacterial small subunit ribosomal RNA", at positions 335 to 523 of the family's 1533-position model. Lineage: Bacteria; Pseudomonadati; Pseudomonadota; Gammaproteobacteria; Alteromonadales. The record is from RNAcentral.